RNAcentral lists this ribosomal RNA (460 nucleotides) under uncultured bacterium. Its description in RNAcentral is "partial 16S ribosomal RNA". It matches the Rfam family "Bacterial small subunit ribosomal RNA", at positions 338 to 795 of the family's 1533-position model. The record is from RNAcentral.
CCUACGGGCGGCAGCAGUGAGGAAUAUUGGUCAAUGGGCGCGAGCCUGAACCAGCCAAGUCGCGUGAAGGAUGACUGCCCUACGGAUUGUAAACUUCUUUUAUCAGGGAAUAAAGUGAGGCACGUGUUCCUUUUUGUAUGUACUUUAUGAAUAAGCAUCGGCUAACUCCGUGCCAGCAGCCGCGGUAAUACGGAGGAUCCGAGCGUUAUCCGGAUUUACUGGGGGUAAAGGGAGCGUAGACGGGGCGGCAAGUCUGCAGUUAAAUGCAGGGGCUUAACCCCUGAACUGCUUUGGAAACUGGCAUGCUAGAGUGCGGGAGAGGUAAGUGGAAUGCCUAGUGUAGCGGUGAAAUGCUUAGAUAUCACGAAGAACUCCGAUUGCGAAGGCAGCUUACUAAACCGCCACUGACACUGAGGCUCGAAAGUGUGGGUAUCAAACAGGAUUAGAUACCCUUGUAGUC